GACUCCUUCGGGGAUCAUCCGGUACAAUUUUGGAAGAUAUAGGAAAUGAGCAUGGCCCCUGCGGAAGGAUGACACGGACAGAUCGAGAAGUGCACCCAAACAUC
RNAcentral lists this small nuclear RNA (104 nucleotides) under Symbiodinium microadriaticum. Lineage: Eukaryota; Dinophyceae; Suessiales; Symbiodiniaceae. The record is from RNAcentral.